This 449-nucleotide ribosomal RNA is filed under the name uncultured bacterium. RNAcentral's name for it is "partial 16S ribosomal RNA". It matches the Rfam family "Bacterial small subunit ribosomal RNA", at positions 29 to 523 of the family's 1533-position model. The record is from RNAcentral.
AACGAACGCUGGCGGCAGGCUUAACACAUGCAAGUCGAACGAGAUCUUCGGAUCUAGUGGCAGACGGGUGAGGAACACGUGGGAACAUCCCUUUCAGUUCGGAAUAACGUUGGGAAACUAACGCUAAUACCGGAUACGUCCUUCGGGAGGAAGAUUUAUCGCUGAAAGAUUGGCCUGCGUCUGAUUAGCUAGUUGGUGAGGUAACGGCUCACCAAGGCUACGACCAGUAGCUGAUCUGAGAGGAUGGACAGCCACAUUGGGACUGAGAAACGGACCAGACUCCUACGGGAGGCAGCAGUGGAGAAUAUUGGACAAUCGGCGCAAGCCUGAUCCAGCCAUGCCGCGUGAUGGAUGACGGCCUUCGGGUUGUAAAGCUCUUGUGUCCGGGAAGAUAAUGACUGUACCGGAAGAAUAAGCCCCGGCAAACUUCGUGCCAGCAGCCGCGGUAA